Molecule: non-coding RNA, 216 nt
Organism: Biomphalaria pfeifferi
Lineage: Eukaryota; Metazoa; Mollusca; Gastropoda; Planorbidae
Source: the annotation of a GenBank genome assembly
CCCCCCCCCCACCUUCCCUUCAUGGUAACCUGGCCAUUUAUCCCUUUAAAGACGACAUCACAUACAAAGUAUUCUCUUUUAACAGUAAGAAAACCACAACACUAAACCUUAUCAAACCUAAUACAAAUUCUCAUCAAACUCAAUACAAAGCCUCAACAAACAAUAAAAAACCUCAUCAAACUCAAUACAAAAUCUCAUCAAACACAAUACAAAUUC